UACAGAGGGUGCGAGCGUUAAUCGGAAUUACUGGGCGUAAAGCGCACGUAGGCGGCUUUGUAAGUUAGAGGUGAAAGCCCAGGGCUCAACCCUGGAAUUGCCUUUAAGACUGCAUCGCUUGAACAUCGGAGAGGUAAGUGGAAUUCCGAGUGUAGAGGUGAAAUUCGUAGAUAUUCGGGAGAACACCAGUGGCGAAGGCGACUUACUGGACGAUUGUUGACGCUGAGGUGCGAAAGCGUGGGGAGCAAACAGG
This 253-nucleotide ribosomal RNA is filed under the name uncultured bacterium. RNAcentral describes it as "partial 16S ribosomal RNA". It matches the Rfam family "Bacterial small subunit ribosomal RNA", at positions 524 to 776 of the family's 1533-position model. The record is from RNAcentral.